GACGAACUCUGGCGGCGUGCUUAACACAUGCCAGUCGAACGGAAAGGCCCUGCUUUUGUGGGGUGCUCGAGUGGCGAACGGGUGAGUAACACGUGAGUAACCUGCCCUUGACUUUGGGAUAACUUCAGGAAACUGGGGCUAAUACCGGAUAGGAGCUCCUGCUGCAUGGUGGGGGUUGGAAAGUUUCGGCGGUUGGGGAUGGACUCGCGGCUUAUCAGCUUGUUGGUGGGGUAGUGGCUUACCAAGGCUUUGACGGGUAGCCGGCCUGAGAGGGUGACCGGCCACAUUGGGACUGAGAUACGGCCCAGACUCCUACGGGAGGCAGCAGUGGGGAAUAUUGCACAAUGGGCGGAAGCCUGAUGCAGCAACGCCGCGUGCGGGAUGACGGCCUUCGGGUUGUAAACCGCUUUCGCCUGUGACGAAGCGUGAGUGACGGUAAUGGGUAAAGAAGCACCGGCUAACUACGUG
Molecule: ribosomal RNA, 468 nt
Filed under: uncultured bacterium
Lineage: Bacteria
Description: partial 16S ribosomal RNA
Rfam family: Bacterial small subunit ribosomal RNA
Source: RNAcentral